Molecule: long non-coding RNA, 502 nt
Filed under: Cricetulus griseus (Chinese hamster)
Lineage: Eukaryota; Metazoa; Chordata; Mammalia; Rodentia; Cricetidae
Description: lncRNA (ENSCGRG00015033723.1)
Source: RNAcentral
UUUGGGGGAAAAAAAAGAUCUUUGAAGAUCCUGCACACUUAGACACCAGCAAAGCAGCCACACUACACCCUGGACACCAUCUGUGUAUAAUCCACACUGCAGGAAAUAGCAUCGUAGACAUCGUGUGAGCAUCAACUCUCCUUCCAGCCCAGAAAAGGCCAGAAGUAGCAAAGAAUUGGCUACACCGCAACUCCAUCCAUUUUCCAUUCUCUGCAGUAUGAAAACAUCUCCAGGUAGAGGAAGCCUCCACCAUGUUUGUCUCUGCAAUCUGCACAGCAGAUGAGUUCCCAUGCUGCUCGGCAACCCGAGAGUGUAAAAUAAAAUUUACUCCAAUGGUCACAUCAUCCUGGACUGCAUGAACGCAGCCACUGUGCAUGUCUCCAAGCAUGGCGCUCACAGCAGAUCCAUCACCCAGACCUUCAGGAGUCAUUUUAGGGACAAGCAGAUGACUAAUGGAUUCCCCAAGAAACGCCUCAUGGACUGAAGACCUCUAUGGAAGGCC